GACGAACGCUGGCGGCGUGCUUAACACAUGCAAGUCGAACGGAAAGGCCCUGCUUUUGUGGGGUGCUCGAGUGGCGAACGGGUGAGUAACACGUGAGUAACCUGCCCUUGACUUUGGGAUAACUUCAGGAAACUGGGGCUAAUACCGGAUAGGAGCUCCUGCUGCAAGGUGGGGGUUGGAAAGUUUCGGCGGUUGGGGAUGGACUCGCGGCUUAUCAGCUUGUUGGCGGGGUAGUGGCUUACCAAGGCUUUGACGGGUAGCCGGCCUGAGAGGGUGACCGGCCACAUUGGGACUGAGAUACGGCCCAGACUCCUACGGGAGGCAGCAGUGGGGAAUAUUGCACAAUGGGCGGAAGCCUGAUGCAGCAACGCCGCGUGCGGGAUGACGGCCUUCGGGUUGUAAACCGCUUUCGCCUGUGACGAAGCGUGAGUGACGGUAAUGGGUAAAGAAGCACCGGCUAACUACGUG
This 468-nucleotide ribosomal RNA is filed under the name uncultured bacterium. RNAcentral describes it as "partial 16S ribosomal RNA". It matches the Rfam family "Bacterial small subunit ribosomal RNA", at positions 28 to 507 of the family's 1533-position model. The record is from RNAcentral.